UACAGAGGUCUCAAGCGUUGUUCGGAUUCAUUGGGCGUAAAGGGUGUGUAGGUGGCGCCGUAAGUCGGGUGUGAAAUUUCGGAGCUUAACUCCGAAACUGCAUUUGAUACUGGCGUGCUUGAGGACUGGAGAGGAGACUGGAAUUCAUGGUGUAGCAGUGAAAUGCGUAGAGAUCAUGAGGAAGACCAGUGGCGAAGGCGGGUCUCUGGACAGUUCCUGACACUGAGACACGAAGGCCAGGGGAGCAAACGGG
This 253-nucleotide ribosomal RNA is filed under the name uncultured bacterium. Its description in RNAcentral is "partial 16S ribosomal RNA". It matches the Rfam family "Bacterial small subunit ribosomal RNA", at positions 524 to 776 of the family's 1533-position model. The record is from RNAcentral.